CGGGGAGUAGUUCAGUUGGCUAGAAUGUACGGCUGGGGGUCGUGAGGUCGCGGGUUCGAGUCCCGCCUCCCCGACAA
RNAcentral lists this transfer RNA (77 nucleotides) under Candidatus Roizmanbacteria bacterium RIFCSPHIGHO2_12_FULL_33_9. RNAcentral's name for it is "tRNA-Pro". It matches the Rfam family "tRNA". Rfam says of the family: Transfer RNA (tRNA) molecules are approximately 80 nucleotides in length. The record is from RNAcentral. Lineage: Bacteria; Candidatus Roizmaniibacteriota.